Molecule: ribosomal RNA, 468 nt
Filed under: Triticum aestivum (bread wheat)
Lineage: Eukaryota; Viridiplantae; Streptophyta; Magnoliopsida; Poales; Poaceae
Description: partial small subunit ribosomal RNA
Source: RNAcentral
AUGGACAAGAGUUGGAUGGAUAAAGCUAGAAAUACACAAGCAUAUAUAGAUGGGGUAGAGAAAUUCAUAGAUUUUGCUUUUACGCAUUCAGCAAGAGGGAACACUAUACUAUGUCCUUGUGGAAUUUGCUUGAACUGUUGUUGGUUUGAAGCUAAUGUUGUCUAUGAGCACUUGUUGUGUGAUGGGUUUAUUAAUGGGUACAAACGAUGGAUAUAUCAUGGGGAGGCAUCAUCAUCUCUUGCAUCCGAGAGUGACCAUGAUGAGGUUCAACCUGAUGAUUUUCAAGAGGAGAUUGACUUAGAUGACUAUGAUGAGAUGCUUGAAAUGAUUCAAGAUAUAGCACAUCAAAAUGGGGAUUUUAGUGAUGGUACUAGUGGGGAGGAUCCAAGUCACCAGGAUGCAGAGCCUGAGGGCGUUGACCCUCUUCUAGAGAAGAAAAAGAAGAAGGAUGAAGAUACUUUCCGAUAA